RNAcentral lists this ribosomal RNA (433 nucleotides) under uncultured bacterium. Its description in RNAcentral is "partial 16S ribosomal RNA". It matches the Rfam family "Bacterial small subunit ribosomal RNA", at positions 29 to 507 of the family's 1533-position model. The record is from RNAcentral.
AACGAACGCUGGCGGCAUGCCUAACACAUGCAAGUCGAACGAGACCUUCGGGUCUAGUGGCGCACGGGUGCGUAACGCGUGGGAACCUGCCCUUAGGUUCGGAAUAACUCCCCGAAAGGGGUGCUAAUACCGGUUAAUGUCUUCGGACCAAAGAUUUAUCGCCUUUGGAUGGGCCCGCGUUGGAUUAGCUAGUUGGUAGGGUAAAAGCCUACCAAGGCGACGAUCCAUAGCUGGUCUGAGAGGAUGAUCAGCCACACUGGGACUGAGACACGGCCCAGACUCCUCGGGGGGGCAGCAGGGGGAAAUAUUGGACAGUGGGAAAAAGCCUGAUCCAGCAAUGCCGCGUGAGGAAUGAAGGCCUUGGGGUUGAAAACCUUUUUUCCCCGGGAUGAUAAUGACGGUACCGGGAAAAUAAGCUCCGGCUAACUCCGUG